RNAcentral lists this ribosomal RNA (465 nucleotides) under uncultured bacterium. RNAcentral describes it as "partial 16S ribosomal RNA". It matches the Rfam family "Bacterial small subunit ribosomal RNA", at positions 28 to 507 of the family's 1533-position model. The record is from RNAcentral.
GACGAACGCUGGCGGUGUGCUUAACACAUGCAAGUCGAACGGUAAGGCCCUUUCGGGGGUACACGAGUGGCGAACGGGUGAGUAACACGUGAGUAACCUGCCCUCAUCUCUGGGAUAACAGUCGGAAACGGUUGCUAAUACUGGAUAUGAGCCUGCAAGGCAUCUUGUGGGUUGGAAAGAUUUUUUGGUUGGGGAUGGACUCGCGGCCUAUCAGCUUGUUGGUGAGGUAGUGGCUCACCAAGGCUUCGACGGGUAGCCGGCCUGAGAGGGCGACCGGCCACAUUGGGGCUGAGAUACGGCCCAAACUCCUACGGGAGGCAGCAGUGGGGAAUAUUGCACAAUGGACGGAAGUCUGAUGCAGCAACGCCGCGUGCGGGAUGACGGCCUUCGGGUUGUAAACCGCUUUCAAUUGUGACGAAGCUUUUUGUGACGGUAGCAGUAGAAGAAGCACCGGCUAACUACGUG